GCGUAAUAGCUCACUGGUCGAGUCGGCCUGCGCGGAAGAUGUAACGGGGCUAAACCAUGCACCGAAGCUGCGGCAGCGACACUGUGUGUUGUUGGGUAGGGGAGCGUUCUGUAAGCCUGUGAAGGUGUGUCGUGAGGCAUGCUGGAGGUAUCAGAAGUGCGAAUGCUGACAUAAGUAACGAUAAAGCGGGUGAAAAGACCGCUCGCCGGAAGACCAA
RNAcentral lists this ribosomal RNA (217 nucleotides) under Salmonella enterica subsp. enterica serovar Saintpaul. RNAcentral describes it as "partial 23S ribosomal RNA". It matches the Rfam family "Bacterial large subunit ribosomal RNA", at positions 1132 to 1348 of the family's 2925-position model. The record is from RNAcentral. Lineage: Bacteria; Pseudomonadati; Pseudomonadota; Gammaproteobacteria; Enterobacterales; Enterobacteriaceae.